Molecule: non-coding RNA, 75 nt
Organism: Octopus bimaculoides (California two-spot octopus)
Lineage: Eukaryota; Metazoa; Mollusca; Cephalopoda; Octopoda; Octopodidae
Source: Rfam
AGCACGAUGGCCGAGUGGUUAAGGCGUUGGACUUAAGUUCCAAUGGACAAGUGCGUUCGAACCCCACUCGUGCUA